Molecule: microRNA, 21 nt
Filed under: Eisenia fetida (common brandling worm)
Lineage: Eukaryota; Metazoa; Annelida; Clitellata; Crassiclitellata; Lumbricidae
Description: Efe-Mir-29-P1i_5p* (star (passenger))
Source: RNAcentral
CUGGUUGCAGUUGGUGCAUAG